AGUGAACGCUGGCGGUAGGCCUAACACAUGCAAGUCGAACGGCAGCACAGGAGAGCUUGCUCUCUGGGUGGCGAGUGGCGGACGGGUGAGGAAUACAUCGGAAUCUACUUUUUCGUGGGGGAUAACGUAGGGAAACUUACGCUAAUACCGCAUACGACCUCCGGGUGAAAGCAGGGGAUCUUCGGUCCUUGCGCGAUUGAAUGAGCCGAUGUCGGAUUAGCUAGUUGGCGGGGUAAAGGCCCAACAAGGCGACGAUCCGUAGCUGGUCUGAGCGGAUGAUCAGCCACACUGGAACUGAGACACGGUCCAGACUCCUACGGGAGGCAGCAGUGGGGAAUAUUGGACAAUGGGCGCAAGCCUGAUCCAGCCAUACCGCGUGGGUGAAGAAGGCCUUCGGGUUGUAAAGCCCUUUUGUUGGGAAAGAAAUCCAGCUGGUUAAUACCCGGUUGGGAUGACGGUACCCAAAGAAUAAGCACCGGCUAACUUCGUGCCAGCCGCCGCAGUAA
RNAcentral lists this ribosomal RNA (506 nucleotides) under uncultured bacterium. RNAcentral's name for it is "partial 16S ribosomal RNA". It matches the Rfam family "Bacterial small subunit ribosomal RNA", at positions 29 to 523 of the family's 1533-position model. The record is from RNAcentral.